Molecule: long non-coding RNA, 313 nt
Filed under: Trifolium pratense (red clover)
Lineage: Eukaryota; Viridiplantae; Streptophyta; Magnoliopsida; Fabales; Fabaceae
Description: long non-coding RNA (TPRA_LNC014245)
Source: RNAcentral
UUGAUAAGAAAUUCUAAGUUAAACUUUGUGUUGUUGCUUUGACAGAGUUUCAGCGUUUUUCUUUAAAGAGACGUUGAUCUUUUCUUCAAGUCUUCGACUCCUUAUAUUGGCUUGAAUAAAGAUACAUUGAAGUUGUCCUUGCACAAAUAGAGUCGUCGAGAAGCUUUGACCCAAAGAUGUUGAUCAAAUCCUUGAUUUAGAUAAUGUCGUUGAAUGACAUUUGAAAACUCUUUGCUACAAGAGGAAUUUGUCGUUCAUUCCAUUUGUCUUUGAAUCUUUUGUUUGUUUGAUAAUGCAUGUGAUCAGAAGACAA